RNAcentral lists this ribosomal RNA (427 nucleotides) under uncultured bacterium. Its description in RNAcentral is "partial 16S ribosomal RNA". It matches the Rfam family "Bacterial small subunit ribosomal RNA", at positions 355 to 774 of the family's 1533-position model. The record is from RNAcentral.
UGGGGAAUAUUGCACAAUGGGCGCAAGCCUGAUGCAGCCAUGCCGCGUGUAUGAAGAAGGCCUUCGGGUUGUAAAGUACUUUCAGCGAGGAGGAAGGCGGUAAGGUUAAUAACCUUAUCGAUUGACGUUACUCGCAGAAGAAGCACCGGCUAACUCCGUGCCAGCAGCCGCGGUAAUACGGAGGGUGCAAGCGUUAAUCGGAAUUACUGGGCGCAAAGCGCACGCAGGCGGUCUGUCAAGUCGGAUGUGAAAUCCCCGGGCUCAACCUGGGAACUGCAUUCGAAACUGGCAGGCUAGAGUCUUGUAGAGGGGGGUAGAAUUCCAGGUGUAGCGGUGAAAUGCGUAGAGAUCUGGAGGAAUACCGGUGGCGAAGGCGGCCCCCUGGACAAAGACUGACGCUCAGGUGCGAAAGCGUGGGGAGCAAACA